This is a non-coding RNA of Vicia faba (fava bean), 321 nucleotides long. NCBI's taxonomy places the organism in Eukaryota, Viridiplantae, Streptophyta, Magnoliopsida, Fabales, Fabaceae. The record is from the annotation of a GenBank genome assembly.
AUGAUUGGUUCGUUCUUCCAUCGUUCUUCAGCUUCGUUCGCUCUUGAAAUCCGUUCGUUCUUCAGCUUCAAAGAUCUUCAUCUUCCACCGUUCUUCAGCUUCGUUCGUUCUUCAGUUACCAUAUCUCAGUAUUCUGAAGCAAGUAGUCGAACCAAGUCUCCCUCCGUCUAUGGAGAAUGUAGAUGUGGUCUCGAUGCACCGUUGAUGACGUCAUGGACUGAUGCUAACCCAGGACGUCGUUUUUACGGACUCAGGGGUAUAAGUGAUGCAAUCAUUUUGUUUGGUAUGAUGAAGAGAUGUGCCUUAGAGCAAAAGACAUGA